GAUCCUGGCUCAGAUUGAACGCUGGCGGCAGGCUUAACACAUGCAAGUCGAGCGGAUGAAAGUAGCUUGCUACUGGAUUCAGCGGCGGACGGGUGAGUAAUGCUUAGGAAUCUGCCUAUUAGUGGGGGACAACGUUCCGAAAGGAGCGCUAAUACCGCAUACGUCCUACGGGAGAAAGCAGGGGACCUUUGGGCCUUGCGCUAAUAGAUGAGCCUAAGUCGGAUUAGCUAGUUGGUAGGGUAAAGGCCUACCAAGGCGACGAUCUGUAGCGGGUCUGAGAGGAUGAUCCGCCACACUGGGACUGAGACACGGCCCAGACUCCUACGGGAGGCAGCAGUGGGGAAUAUUGGACAAUGGGGGGAACCCUGAUCCAGCCAUGCCGCGUGUGUGAAGAAGGCCUUUUGGUUGUAAAGCACUUUAAGCGAGGAGGAGGCUACCUAGAUUAAUACUUUAGGAUAGUGGACGUUACUCGCAGAAUAAGCACCGGCUAACUCUGUGCCAGCCGCGGC
RNAcentral lists this ribosomal RNA (509 nucleotides) under uncultured bacterium. RNAcentral describes it as "bacterial SSU rRNA". It matches the Rfam family "Bacterial small subunit ribosomal RNA", at positions 15 to 518 of the family's 1533-position model. The record is from RNAcentral.